This 285-nucleotide long non-coding RNA is filed under the name Lathyrus oleraceus (garden pea). RNAcentral's name for it is "Pisum sativum (pea) long non-coding RNA (PSAT_LNC025736)". Lineage: Eukaryota; Viridiplantae; Streptophyta; Magnoliopsida; Fabales; Fabaceae. The record is from RNAcentral.
GAUGUUUUGGACGUCGUCCUCCAACAUUCGGUUGUGGUGGCAUAAUUCGCCAAUGGCGGCUCGUAUCUUUGUCAUGACCUCAACAUCUCUUGUAUCGUUGAUACCCUCAAGAAUAAGGGAUGAAUCUCUUCUGUUCAACAUGUCUUGUAAUGGUCAUAAUUGGGAAUUAAGGUUACGACAGGGACAGUGAUGAUUUUUUAGAGAGAGGUGUGGCUCAGGUUAGUUCUAUCGGGCCUCACGGAGGACAUCACUGUAAUGUCCAAAAAAAUACAUGAUGUGUGUGUG